UCCAACCAGUAUUGUAACGAUUUCAGAGGGUUUUACCAUGCAUGGCAUCUUUGUAUUUGACAGUAAUGGGAAAAAGCUGAGGAACUGUGACGCCAGCAACUCUCUCGAUCUGUUGUUCGAGAUAGAAUGCUAACCAACUGGCCCUCGUAUUCAUGCCCAAGCAAUUACAGCGAAUUUUGGUCUCUCGAGUGGACCAAGUAUGGCACCUGCACACUCUCUGUCUUCGAUAGUCAAUAUGAUUUCUUUAAAGCAGGCCUCGACCUCAAGGAUAGAAUGGAUAUCCUGAAAAUCCUCAAAAGAAGGAGGAAUCGAACCCACCGGGUUGUUCUACAGCACGGAGAGAUUCACACG
This is a long non-coding RNA of Nelumbo nucifera (sacred lotus), 351 nucleotides long. RefSeq lists it as uncharacterized. NCBI's taxonomy places the organism in Eukaryota, Viridiplantae, Streptophyta, Magnoliopsida, Proteales, Nelumbonaceae. The record is from RefSeq and is a predicted model, not a curated record.